UACGUAGGGUGCAAGCGUUGUCCGGAAUUAUUGGGCGUAAAGAGCUCGUAGGCGGUUUGUCGCGUCUGCUGUGAAAACGCGAGGCUCAACCUCGCGCCUGCAGUGGGUACGGGCAGACUAGAGUGCGGUAGGGGAGAUUGGAAUUCCUGGUGUAGCGGUGGAAUGCGCAGAUAUCAGGAGGAACACCGAUGGCGAAGGCAGAUCUCUGGGCCGUAACUGACGCUGGGGAGCGAAAGCGUGGGGAGCGAACAGG
RNAcentral lists this ribosomal RNA (253 nucleotides) under uncultured bacterium. RNAcentral describes it as "partial 16S ribosomal RNA". It matches the Rfam family "Bacterial small subunit ribosomal RNA", at positions 524 to 776 of the family's 1533-position model. The record is from RNAcentral.